Molecule: long non-coding RNA, 1295 nt
Organism: Mus musculus (house mouse)
Lineage: Eukaryota; Metazoa; Chordata; Mammalia; Rodentia; Muridae
Product: predicted gene, 34372
Exons: 3
Source: RefSeq, a predicted model, not a curated record
CAACUGUGAGCCAUCUCUCCAGCCCCGCUUCUGUUUUAUGUAUGUGUAUCACGUGCAGGUCUGGUACCACUGGAAGUCAGGAGAGGAUGUCAGACGCCUCUGGACUUACAGACAGUUGUGAGCUAACUGACACAGACGCUGGGGUCAAACCCAGAUCCUGCACAGGAGCAGCCGGCGCUUUAACCACUGAACCACCUCUCCAGCGCUCAGAAUUGUUUUCCAUGUGAGCUCCGAGUACUGAACUCAACUCCUCACCUGCAGGGCAAGCAGUUCCCACUGAGCCAUCUUCCCAGGCCCUGCUCUUACUGCUAACAGAAACCUCUGGGGCAGCAAGCCCCUGCGCCUCGUUCGCUUCCGGAAGAAGCGGGUCCCAGAGUUGAAUGCAGCUGCCUCCCGGUCUGAGCCAAGUUCUGUUUCCUGCCUCCCUGGACAACGAAGGGCAGUGGUUGUGAGAUCUCCUUAAAUGGCUGAAGGAGAGCCUGGAUUUAGGGUUUCAGGAGCAAGCUGCAGGCAAGCAUGGCUGAUAAUGCCAUCUCAGUUUCUCUUCGGGCGGCAACGACAAAAUGCUCUUAACAGUUCAGGGGUGUGGUCCAUCAGGGCAGAGUAGGAAGGCAGGACCCAGGAGACUGAAGCAGCUGCCCUUAUACGUCCACAGUCAGGAACAGAGUGACAGCUGCAUGUCACCCCUCAGCUUCUCUCUCCACUCAGCCCAGGAGGCCAGCCCGGGAAAGGCGCGCCACCCCAGCUUUCAUCGGCAACGCCGUGCAGAGGAUGCUGACCGGGCAGAGUCCAGAGAGGCUUCCCAGCCGCAGCCAGAGCAGACACUGACGACCCAAUGGCAGCAUACAGGAUGCUGGACGGAGGCUCCAGGGAGAGGAUCAGUGCCAGCCACAGCCGCUCAGCCAUGACACGUGUGUUGCCUUGGUUGGAUCCCCCGGAAGCAGAGGUAGAUGGCUGACUUAGGAGGUGGUCUCCGGAGAAGCAGAAUGGCGUGGUGAUCACACAGGAGCAGAUGAGACAGAAGGAAGCCCACUGUGUGGCUGGGAAACACUCAGUAUCUGCUGUGUAGGCAUGAGGAGGUCGCUUUGAUCACCAACACUCAUGUAAAAAGCAGGCAAGUUGUAAUCUCAGUUCUGGGGAGACAGAGAGAGGAGGACCCUUGGAGCUCACUGGCCAGCCAGCUUAGAAAUGGGGAGCCCCAGAUGCCAGUAAUAGACCUUAUCUCAAGACACCAACAGGCCAACAAGAUGGCUCAGCAGACACAUGCACUUGCAACCAAGCCUGGUGACUUGAGU